UUCUCUCUAACACAUCACGGAUCUGUGUCUCAGCGAUCCUGUUCACGAGGCUGAAGAGAGGCAGCUUGCUGUUUUUCUUCUUCUCUUGUGUUUCGGUUGAUUACUGGACAGUUCGACGACUUAAGGAGCCAUCACUUUUGUUUUGUUGGUGGUCUUUGGCAUCCGGUCGACAGAUCUCAGAUUAAAGGUCGGCACUGGGUGUUCGCUCUGGUCUUGAGCUCCCUUGUCUCCGGACUUGGUGAGCUCGGCUGGAGUCCCCGGCUUGCUGACGGCGUCAUAUUCCUACUCUCUUUACCGAUCAUGGCCGUCGGCCGAUGAGGUUAGGGAAUAACCAUGACCAGCCAACAUUC
This 350-nucleotide small RNA is filed under the name Aspergillus aculeatus ATCC 16872. RNAcentral's name for it is "A. fumigatus sRNA Afu_309". It matches the Rfam family "A. fumigatus sRNA Afu_309". The record is from Rfam by way of RNAcentral. Lineage: Eukaryota; Fungi; Ascomycota; Eurotiomycetes; Eurotiales; Aspergillaceae.